GAUGAAGAACGCAGCGAAAUGCGAUAAGUAAUGUGAAUUGCAGAAUUCAGUGAAUCAUCGAAUCUUUGAACGCACAUUGCGCCCGCCAGCAUUCUGGCGGGCAUGCCUGUUCGAGCGUCAUUUCAACCCUCAAGCUCUGCUUGGUGUUGGGGCCCUACGGUUGACGUAGGCCCUUAAAGGUAGUGGCGGACCCUCUCGGAGCCUCCUUUGCGUAGUAACUAACGUCUCGCAUUGGGAUUCGGAGGGACUCUUGCCGUAAAACCCCCAAAUUUUCUAAUGGUUGACCUCGGAUCAGGUAGGAAUACCCGCUGAACUUAAGCAUACCAAUAAGCGGAGGA
RNAcentral lists this unclassified non-coding RNA (338 nucleotides) under soil metagenome. RNAcentral describes it as "partial contains 5.8S ribosomal RNA, internal transcribed spacer 2, and large subunit ribosomal RNA". The stretch from base 1 to 120 matches the Rfam family "5.8S ribosomal RNA", at positions 35 to 154 of the family's 154-position model. The record is from RNAcentral.